Molecule: ribosomal RNA, 253 nt
Filed under: uncultured bacterium
Lineage: Bacteria
Description: partial 16S ribosomal RNA
Rfam family: Bacterial small subunit ribosomal RNA
Source: RNAcentral
UACGAAGGGGGCUAGCGUUGUUCGGAAUUACUGGGCGUAAAGCGCGCGCAGGCGGUCUUCCAAGUCAGUGGUGAAAGCCCGGAGCUCAACUCCGGAAUUGCCAUUGAAACUGUUGGACUUGAGGAUGAGAGAGGUGAGUGGAAUUCCCAGUGUAGAGGUGAAAUUCGUAGAUAUUCGGAAGAACACCAGUGGCGAAGGCGACUUACUGGACACGUAUUGACGCUGAGGUGCGAAAGCGUGGGGAGCAAACAGG